CUACGGGACGCAGCAGUGGGGAAUAUUGGACAAUGGGGGAAACCCUGAUCCAGCAAUGCCGCGUGUGUGAAGAAGGCCUGCGGGUUGUAAAGCACUUUCGGUUGGGAGGACUGCUUCUAGCACUAAUAUUGUUGGAAGUUGACGUUACCUUCAGAAGAAGCACCGGCGUAACUCCGUGCCAGCAGCCACGGUAAUACGGAGGGUGCAAGCGUUAAUCGGAAUUACUGGGCGUAAAGCGCGCGUAGGCGGUUAGAUCAGUCGGGUGUGAAAGCCCCGGGCUUAACCUGGGAACUGCAUCCGAUACUGUCUAGCUUGAGUACAGGAGAGGAGAGUGGAAUUCCACAUGUAGCGGUGAAAUGCGUAGAUAUGUGGAGGAACACCAAUGGCGAAGGCAGCUCUCUGGCCUGAUACUGACGCUGAGGUGCGAAAGCGUGGGGAGCAAACAGGAUUAGAUACCCUCGUAGUC
This 466-nucleotide ribosomal RNA is filed under the name uncultured bacterium. Its description in RNAcentral is "partial 16S ribosomal RNA". It matches the Rfam family "Bacterial small subunit ribosomal RNA", at positions 339 to 795 of the family's 1533-position model. The record is from RNAcentral.